Molecule: transfer RNA, 72 nt
Filed under: Camelus bactrianus (Bactrian camel)
Lineage: Eukaryota; Metazoa; Chordata; Mammalia; Artiodactyla; Camelidae
Also listed under: 3 other names
Rfam family: tRNA
About the family: Transfer RNA (tRNA) molecules are approximately 80 nucleotides in length. Their secondary structure includes four short double-helical elements and three loops (D, anti-codon, and T loops). Further hydrogen bonds mediate the characteristic L-shaped molecular structure. tRNAs have two regions of fundamental functional importance: the anti-codon, which is responsible for specific mRNA codon recognition, and the 3' end, to which the tRNAs corresponding amino acid is attached (by aminoacyl-tRNA synthetases). tRNAs cope with the degeneracy of the genetic code in two manners: having more than one tRNA (with a specific anti-codon) for a particular amino acid; and 'wobble' base-pairing, i.e. permitting non-standard base-pairing at the 3rd anti-codon position.
Source: Rfam by way of RNAcentral
GAGGGUAUAGCUCAGUGGUAGAGGGCAUGCUUAGCAGGUUUGAGGUCCUGGGUUCAAUCCCCAGCACCUCCA